UGGGGAAUAUUGCACAAUGGGCGCAAGCCUGAUGCAGCCAUGCCGCGUGUGUGAAGAAGGCCUUCGGGUUGUAAAGCACUUUCAGCGAGGAGGAAGGGUAGUGUGUUAAUAGCACAUUGCAUUGACGUUACUCGCAGAAGAAGCACCGGCUAACUCCGUGCCAGCAGCCGCGGUAAUACGGAGGGUGCAAGCGUUAAUCGGAAUUACUGGGCGUAAAGCGCACGCAGGCGGUUUGUUAAGUCAGAUGUGAAAUCCCCGCGCUUAACGUGGAACUGCAUUUG
This 281-nucleotide ribosomal RNA is filed under the name uncultured bacterium. Its description in RNAcentral is "partial 16S ribosomal RNA". It matches the Rfam family "Bacterial small subunit ribosomal RNA", at positions 355 to 629 of the family's 1533-position model. The record is from RNAcentral.